GCGCCUGUAGCUCAAUGGAUAGAGCACUGGCCUCCGGAGCCAGGUGUUGGUGGUUCAAAUCCACUCAGGCGCACCA
RNAcentral lists this transfer RNA (76 nucleotides) under Candidatus Omnitrophota bacterium. RNAcentral describes it as "Candidatus Omnitrophica bacterium tRNA-Arg". It matches the Rfam family "tRNA". From Rfam's summary of the family: Transfer RNA (tRNA) molecules are approximately 80 nucleotides in length. Their secondary structure includes four short double-helical elements and three loops (D, anti-codon, and T loops). Further hydrogen bonds mediate the characteristic L-shaped molecular structure. tRNAs have two regions of fundamental functional importance: the anti-codon, which is responsible for specific mRNA codon recognition, and the 3' end, to which the tRNAs corresponding amino acid is attached (by aminoacyl-tRNA synthetases). tRNAs cope with the degeneracy of the genetic code in two manners: having more than one tRNA (with a specific anti-codon) for a particular amino acid; and 'wobble' base-pairing, i.e. permitting non-standard base-pairing at the 3rd anti-codon position. The record is from RNAcentral. Lineage: Bacteria; Pseudomonadati; Candidatus Omnitrophota.